CCUACGGGAGGCAGCAGUGGGGAAUAUUGCACAAUGGGCGAAAGCCUGAUGCAGCAACGCCGCGUGAAGGAAGAAGGCCUUCGGGUCGUAAACUUCUGUCCUUGGGGAAGAAGAGCUGACGGUACCCAAGGAGGAAGCCCCGGCUAACUACGUGCCAGCAGCCGCGGUAAUACGGAGGAUGCGAGCGUUAUCCGGAUUUAUUGGGUUUAAAGGGUGCGCAGACGGCCGGUUAAGUCAGCGGUAAAAGCCCGGGGCUCAACCCCGGCGAGCCGUUGAAACUGGCGGGCUGGAGUUGGAGAGAAGUACGCGGAAUGCGCGGUGUAGCGGUGAAAUGCUUAGAUAUCGCGCAGAACCCCGAUUGCGAAGGCAGCGUACCGGCUCCACACUGACGCUGAGGCACGAAAGCGUGGGUAUCGAACAGGAUUAGAUACCCUGGUAGUC
This 441-nucleotide ribosomal RNA is filed under the name uncultured bacterium. RNAcentral describes it as "partial 16S ribosomal RNA". It matches the Rfam family "Bacterial small subunit ribosomal RNA", at positions 338 to 795 of the family's 1533-position model. The record is from RNAcentral.